AUUGAACGCUGGCGGCAUGCUUUACACAUGCAAGUCGAACGGCAGCACAAUAAAGAUUUCGGUCUUUAUGGGUGGCGAGUGGCGGACGGGUGAGUAACGCGUAGGAAUCUGUCCUGGAGAGUGGGAUAACCCGAGGAAACUCGGGCUAAUACUGCAUGACAUUGAGAGAUCAAAAGCAGGGGACCGAAAGGCCUUGCGCUCUGGGGUGAGCCUACGUCGGAUUAGCUAGUUGGUGGGGUAAAGGCCUACCAAGGCGACGAUCCGUAGCUGGUCUGAGAGGAUGACCAGCCACACUGGGACUGAGACACGGCCCAGACUCCUACGGGAGGCAGCGGUGGGGAAUCUUGGACAAUGGGGGAAACCCUGAUCCAGCGAUGCCGCGUGUGUGAAGAAGGCCUUCGGGUUGUAAAGCACUUUAGGUGGGGAAGAAAGGUAGCGAGUGAAUAACUUUCUGCUGUGACGGUACCCACAGAAUAAGCACCGGCUAACUCUGUGCCAGCCGCCGCGGUAA
RNAcentral lists this ribosomal RNA (511 nucleotides) under uncultured bacterium. RNAcentral's name for it is "partial 16S ribosomal RNA". It matches the Rfam family "Bacterial small subunit ribosomal RNA", at positions 30 to 523 of the family's 1533-position model. The record is from RNAcentral.